RNAcentral lists this unclassified non-coding RNA (337 nucleotides) under soil metagenome. Its description in RNAcentral is "partial contains 5.8S ribosomal RNA, internal transcribed spacer 2, and large subunit ribosomal RNA". The stretch from base 1 to 120 matches the Rfam family "5.8S ribosomal RNA", at positions 35 to 154 of the family's 154-position model. The record is from RNAcentral.
GAUGAAGAACGUAGCGAAAUGCGAUAAGUAGUGUGAAUUGCAGAAUUCAGUGAAUCAUCGAAUCUUUGAACGCACAUUGCGCCCCUUGGUAUUCCAUGGGGCAUGCCUGUUCGAGCGUCAUUUGUACCUUCAAGCUCUGCUUGAUGUUGGGUGUUUGUCUCGCCUCUGCGUGUAGACUCGCCUCAAAACAAUUGGCAGCCGGCGUAUUGAUUUCGGAGCGCAGUACAUCUCGCGCUUUGCACUCAUAACGACGACGUCCAAAAGUACAUUUUUACACUCUUGACCUCGGAUCAGGUAGGGAUACCCGCUGAACUUAAGCAUAUCAAUAAGCGGAGGA